This 301-nucleotide ribosomal RNA is filed under the name uncultured bacterium. RNAcentral describes it as "partial 16S ribosomal RNA". It matches the Rfam family "Archaeal small subunit ribosomal RNA", at positions 459 to 761 of the family's 1478-position model. The record is from RNAcentral.
CAGUCGCCGCGGUAACACCAGCACCUCGAGUGGUCAGGAGGUUUAUUGGGCCUAAAGCAUCCGUAGCCGGUUGCAUAAGUUUUCGGUUAAAUCUAUGCGCUUAACGUAUAGGCCGCCGAAAAUACUGUGCAGCUAGGGAGUGGGAGAGGUACACGGUACUCGAUAGGAAGGGGUAAAAUCCUUUGAUCUAUUGAUGACCACCUGUGGCGAAGGCGGUGUACCAGAACACGUUCGACGGUGAGGGAUGAAAGCUGGGGGAGCAAACCGGAUUAGAUACCCCUGAGUCCCUGUCUCUUAUACA